Molecule: ribosomal RNA, 270 nt
Filed under: uncultured archaeon
Lineage: Archaea
Description: partial 16S ribosomal RNA
Rfam family: Archaeal small subunit ribosomal RNA
Source: RNAcentral
CAGCACUUCAAGUGGUCAGGAUGAUUAUUGGGCCUAAAGCAUCCGUAGCCGGCUCUGUACGUUUUCGGUUAAAUCUGUACGCUCAACGUACAGGCUGCCGGGAAUACUUCAGCGCUAGGGAGUGGGAGAGGUAGACGGUACUCGGUAGGAAGGGGUAAAAUCCUUUGAUCUAUUGAUGACCACCUGUGGCGAAGGCGGUCUACCAGAACACGUCCGACGGUGAGGGAUGAAAGCUGGGGGAGCAAACCGGAUUAGAUACCCGAGUAGUCC